This 442-nucleotide ribosomal RNA is filed under the name uncultured bacterium. RNAcentral's name for it is "partial 16S ribosomal RNA". It matches the Rfam family "Bacterial small subunit ribosomal RNA", at positions 338 to 795 of the family's 1533-position model. The record is from RNAcentral.
CCUACGGGUGGCAGCAGUGGGGAAUCUUUCACAAUGGACGAAAGCCUGAUGGAGCCACGCCGCGUGCAGGAUGAAGGCCUUCGGGUUGUAAACUGCUUUUAUGAGCGAGAAAUAUGAUGGUAACUUAUGAAUAAGUAUCGGCUAACUACGUGCCAGCAGCCGCGGUCAUACGUAGGAUCCGAGCAUUAUCCGGAGUGUCUGGGUGUAAAGAGUUGCGUAAGGGGGAUAAUAAGUAGCUAGUUGAAUCUGGUUGCUCAACCAUUCAGACUAUUAGCUAAACUGUUAAGCUCGAGACCGUUAGGGGUAACUGGAAUUUCUAGUGUAGGAGUGAAAUCCGUAGAUAUUAGAAGGAACACCAAUAGCGUAGGCAGGUUGCUGGGACGGUUCUGACACUGAGGCACGAAAGCGUAGGGAGCAAACGGGAUUAGAUACCCCAGUAGUC